Molecule: ribosomal RNA, 446 nt
Filed under: uncultured Kaistia sp.
Lineage: Bacteria; Pseudomonadati; Pseudomonadota; Alphaproteobacteria; Hyphomicrobiales; Kaistiaceae
Description: bacterial SSU rRNA
Rfam family: Bacterial small subunit ribosomal RNA
Source: RNAcentral
GGUCCUACGGGCGGCAGCAGUGGGGAAUAUUGGACAAUGGGCGCAAGCCUGAUCCAGCCAUGCCGCGUGUGUGAUGAAGGCCUUAGGGUUGUAAAGCACUUUCGCCGAUGAAGAUAAUGACUGUAGUCGGAGAAGAAGCCCCGGCUAACUUCGUGCCAGCAGCCGCGGUAAUACGAAGGGGGCUAGCGUUGUUCGGAAUUACUGGGCGUAAAGCGUACGUAGGCGGAUUGUUAAGUGAGGGGUGAAAUCCCGAGGCUCAACCUCGGAACUGCCUUUCAUACUGGCAAUCUUGAGUACGGGAGAGGUGAGUGGAACUCCUAGUGUAGAGGUGAAAUUCGUAGAUAUUAGGAAGAACACCAGUGGCGAAGUCGGCUCACUGGCCCGGAACUGACGCUGAGGUACGAAAGCGUGGGGAGCAAACAGGAUUAGAUACCCCAGUAGUCUAC